Molecule: transfer RNA, 78 nt
Filed under: Streptomyces albidoflavus
Lineage: Bacteria; Bacillati; Actinomycetota; Actinomycetes; Kitasatosporales; Streptomycetaceae
Description: tRNA-Arg
Source: RNAcentral
GCCUCAGCUCAGCCCGUAGAUCCCCCAGCCUCUCUCCUAAAGCGGGUGUCGCAGGUUCGAAUCCUGCCGGGGGCACCA